UGGGGUGUGGUUCAAGUGGUAGAACACCAGUCUCCAGAGCUCGACGCCCUGGGUUCAAGCCCCAGUACAUAAA
This 73-nucleotide transfer RNA is filed under the name Dipodomys ordii (Ord's kangaroo rat). It matches the Rfam family "tRNA". Rfam says of the family: Transfer RNA (tRNA) molecules are approximately 80 nucleotides in length. Their secondary structure includes four short double-helical elements and three loops (D, anti-codon, and T loops). Further hydrogen bonds mediate the characteristic L-shaped molecular structure. tRNAs have two regions of fundamental functional importance: the anti-codon, which is responsible for specific mRNA codon recognition, and the 3' end, to which the tRNAs corresponding amino acid is attached (by aminoacyl-tRNA synthetases). tRNAs cope with the degeneracy of the genetic code in two manners: having more than one tRNA (with a specific anti-codon) for a particular amino acid; and 'wobble' base-pairing, i.e. permitting non-standard base-pairing at the 3rd anti-codon position. The record is from Rfam by way of RNAcentral. Lineage: Eukaryota; Metazoa; Chordata; Mammalia; Rodentia; Heteromyidae.